This is a long non-coding RNA of Acanthochromis polyacanthus (spiny chromis), 150 nucleotides long. RefSeq lists it as uncharacterized. Lineage: Eukaryota; Metazoa; Chordata; Actinopteri; Pomacentridae. The transcript has 3 exons. The record is from RefSeq and is a predicted model, not a curated record.
GGAGUCAUAGUUCCACUAACCAGGAGGUCUAGAAGGAGUCAUAGUACCACUAAUCAGGAGGUCUAGAAGGAGUCAUAGUACCACUAAUCAGGAGGUCAAGAAGGAGUCAUAGUUCCACUAAUCAGGAGGUCUAGAAGGAGUCAUAGUUCC